This 232-nucleotide ribosomal RNA is filed under the name uncultured Lactobacillus sp. RNAcentral's name for it is "partial 16S ribosomal RNA". It matches the Rfam family "Bacterial small subunit ribosomal RNA", at positions 130 to 354 of the family's 1533-position model. Lineage: Bacteria; Bacillati; Bacillota; Bacilli; Lactobacillales; Lactobacillaceae. The record is from RNAcentral.
AAGANGGAUCGGGAUAACACCUGGAAACAGAUGCUAAUACCGGAUAACAACAGAUGAUGCCUAUCAACUGUUUAAAAGAUGGUUCUGCUAUCACUCUUGGAUGGACCUGCGGUGCAUUAGCUAGUUGGUAGGGUAACGGCCUACCAAGGCGAUGAUGCAUAGCCGAGUUGAGAGACUGAUCGGCCACAUUGGGACUGAGACACGGCCCAAACUCCUACGGGAGGCAGCAGGG